UUACGAUAAUAGCAAAUUUAUCGAAAGGUAAAGACGCAAAGCUAUGGGUCUAAGGAAUUCCAUUCUAUGAUUGCCAGGUUGCCGAA
RNAcentral lists this non-coding RNA (86 nucleotides) under Peptoclostridium litorale. RNAcentral describes it as "Clostridium litorale c-di-GMP sequence". It matches the Rfam family "c-di-GMP-I riboswitch aptamer". From Rfam's summary of the family: GEMM was predicted in a large-scale screen for bacterial structured RNA regulatory elements. Genes associated with GEMM are involved in a diverse array of functions, including chemotaxis regulation, signal transduction, secretion and chitin. The record is from RNAcentral. RNAcentral also lists the same sequence under 1 other name. Lineage: Bacteria; Bacillati; Bacillota; Clostridia; Peptostreptococcales; Peptoclostridiaceae.